Molecule: ribosomal RNA, 492 nt
Filed under: uncultured bacterium
Lineage: Bacteria
Description: partial 16S ribosomal RNA
Rfam family: Bacterial small subunit ribosomal RNA
Source: RNAcentral
AGUGAACGCUGGCGGUAGGCCUAACACAUGCAAGUCGAACGGCAGCACAGUAAGAGCUUGCUCUUACGGGUGGCGAGUGGCGGACGGGUGAGGAAUACAUCGGAAUCUACUUUUUCGUGGGGGAUAACGUAGGGAAACUUACGCUAAUAUCGCAUACGACCUACGGGUGAAAGCAGGGGAUCUUCGGACCUUGCGCGAUUGAAUGAGCCGAUGUCGGAUUAGCUAGUUGGCGGGGUAAAGGCCCACCAAGGCGACGAUCCGUAGCUGGUCUGAGAGGAUGAUCAGCCACACUGGAACUGGGACACGGUCCAGACUCCUACGGGAGGCAGCAGUGGGGAAUAUUGGACAAUGGGCGCAAGCCUGAUCCAGCCAUACCGCGUGGGUGAAGAAGGCCUUCGGGUUGUAAAGCCCUUUUGUUGGGAAAGAAAAGCAGCAGGUUAAUACCCCGCUGUUCUGACGGUACCCAAAGAAUAAGCACCGGCUAACUUCGUG